CAUCUUCCUGGACUGUCCACCCUGCUUUUAGAACCCUGGCUCAGCUCCCUCCAGGCUUGGCCUCAGUCACCUCGCGAAGGGAGUGAAAGUUGUAGAGAUAGGGCAGAAAUCGGAGCCCUUUGGACUGACUUCCUUGGUGUCCCAUUAAAGAUUAAUCAGCGAGGACGCAUAGAGAGAGGCCUUUGGGAGCCCGCUAAGGGCCGCUGGAGCUCCUCGGGCCUCCCUGGCCUUGUCCAAGGCUCUCCAUCAGGAAGUGGAGGUUGGAGAAGUUCUCGGGAGGCACCCCAACCCCAGCGGGCCCCUGGAUCCUCCUUUAUCUUGGGCCCCGGGGAAACAGCAUUCAGGGAGCCGGGCCAGGUAGUGAUGCCGGCAAAGAGAAGGCGGCUCCGAGAGGCUGAGGAAGGGCGAGGGAAAAAGAAAGGAUUUCACCAGCGGGUGUUUCGCAGGCCCUGAAGUUCAGAGACGCACCAUCUCCCUUCAGUGCCUCGUUAAACAUUAAAUCGGUGGACCAGGGUGAGGCAGUUUCUGAGUCAGGAUGACCCGGAUUCCAAUCCUGUUCUGGCACACAACACGGACGACAUCAUUUAACCUUCCGCUGUCCCAGCCACUCUCGGAGAGUUUCCUUCAAUGUAACCAGCACUGAAAAAGAGGAAAGAGGACAUACAGAUAUUUUAUUUCGAGUAUUAAAUGCUUCUGCUUUGGCUGAUCAGACCAAAACAAAUGCUAAGACUAACAAGUAAUACAAUACAAAAUACAAUAAAUCAUGCUGGUACCAAGAAUACUUGUGCCCACACAUACAAAGAAUAAAUUGGAGAAUUCCCUUAA
Monodelphis domestica (gray short-tailed opossum) is the source of this 825-nucleotide long non-coding RNA. RefSeq lists it as uncharacterized. NCBI's taxonomy places the organism in Eukaryota, Metazoa, Chordata, Mammalia, Didelphimorphia, Didelphidae. The record is from RefSeq and is a predicted model, not a curated record.